GGGCGAAUGGUCUAGGGGUAUGAUACUCCCUUCGCAUAGAAUCUCAGGAUUCCGAGCAUGGGAGGGGUCCGGGGUUCAAUUCCCCGUUCGUCCA
Non-coding RNA from Poronia punctata, 94 nucleotides. NCBI's taxonomy places the organism in Eukaryota, Fungi, Ascomycota, Sordariomycetes, Xylariales, Xylariaceae. The record is from the annotation of a GenBank genome assembly.